CCCCCAGCGCCAUCCCCCAGGUGCUCACUGCAUCCUCACCUGCCCUGAAGGAUAGGGUUCGCGCUGCCCUUGUAACAGGGGGGCCGGAGCCCAGGGCCGCUCAGCUACCGGCCCAAGGCGUCUGACCUCCCCCGUCCCCCCAUGGCUUUGCCUGAGACUCUCCAUGCGCCCCGUCCCGCAGUCGUUCCUUCGGGCCCGAUGACAACCCUGGGAGCUCAGAGCCAGGCACACAGCGGGGGCACUUUAGCCACUGCUGAAUUUGACCGGGGCCCCUUGCCAGCAGCCUCAGGAGGGCAGUGAGCAUGCCUGUCCGUCUGACCGCGCGGUGCCAGACAAGCCCAGCCCCAGAGCCGGUGGGGUGGGAGGUGUCUGGAAUUGUUGGCUUACCAGGACCAGUAGUAGAGAGAAGUUUCCAGACCCCGUGAGGUCUCCGGGCGUAUACCCCUGGAGGACACUUCUAGAUGCUGACAGAGACCCGGGUCUAAACAUGCCUUCGCCUGGACUGCAGAAUUUCUGGUCAGGCUAUGGUUGACUUCUGAGUGCCUCAGUUUCCUUUAGGGACCCCCAGCGCUUCCCACACCCCAGCCCCACCCGGCACUUUCCAGCUGGGCCUGCUCCCAGCCAGUCAGUGGCCUGGAUCAACUAUGCUCCUGAGUGUGAUGCCUGGUUCCUGACUGUGUGGCCAGGGGUGGCUGCCUUCACUCCGAGCCUCUCUCACUCAGCUGUGGGGUGGAGAGAGGGAGAAAGAGAGAGAGAGACAUCAAUGUGAGAGAGAAACAUGGCUGGCUUGCACAUGAGCCACACCAGGGACCAAACCCCCCAGCGCCCGGACCCGGAAUUAAACCCAGGACACUUCGGUUUAUGGACGGGAUGAUGCUCCAAGCAGCUGAGCCACACCUACUAUGUGAAAGACAUCAAGGGACGCAGCAGGAUGGAUGCGGCGCCUCCGGAGCGCUGGGGAGCACGGCGUCCUCGCAUGCGAGUGGAGCCCGCUCCUCACUGCGAACGCGGAUCGGGCUCCUGGGCCGCAGAACCAACCUUCCCAGACUUUCAGUAAGAGAAUUGUACAGCUGGAUGAACCCAGGCCCAAAGAUGGGAAGAGACUAGCCAAGGUCAC
This is a long non-coding RNA of Artibeus jamaicensis (Jamaican fruit-eating bat), 1117 nucleotides long. RefSeq lists it as uncharacterized. Lineage: Eukaryota; Metazoa; Chordata; Mammalia; Chiroptera; Phyllostomidae. The record is from RefSeq and is a predicted model, not a curated record. The transcript has 4 exons.